AUGGCGGAGGAACCGUCCGCCAAGCGUCAUCAUGGUGAGCCGUCGGAUAAGAGAAGCAACCUCGUCCAUGUUCACGUCCCCGGCGAGAAGCGCGAGUACACGAGAACCCUCACAGAGGUUGAGCUCCACGGCAAGGAGAAGCUGGAGAUCGUCUGCACAGCCGAACCAGACAAGGCCGACGAGGUGAUGAGCAGGCUCAGGAUAAAGGGCGGCGGCUUGUAUCCGAGCUUCAUCGGAGUUGAUGUGGAGCCCAAGCGCCUCAAAGACUUCCUGUAG
RNAcentral lists this ribosomal RNA (276 nucleotides) under Triticum aestivum (bread wheat). Its description in RNAcentral is "partial small subunit ribosomal RNA". Lineage: Eukaryota; Viridiplantae; Streptophyta; Magnoliopsida; Poales; Poaceae. The record is from RNAcentral.